UGGGGAAUCUUGGACAAUGGGCGAAAGCCUGAUCCAGCAAUGCCGCGUGCAGGACGAAGGCCUUCGGGUUGUAAACUGCUUUUGUACGGAACGAAACGGUCUCUUCUAAUACAAGGGGCUAAUGACGGUACCGUAAGAAUAAGCACCGGCUAACUACGUGCCAGCAGCCGCGGUAAUACGUAGGGUGCGAGCGUUAAUCGGAAUUACUGGGCGUAAAGCGUGCGCAGGCGGUUAUAUAAGACAGAUGUGAAAUCCCCGGGCUCAACCUGGGACCUGCAUUUGUGACUGUAUAGCUAGAGUACGGUAGAGGGGGAUGGAAUUCCGCGUGUAGCAGUGAAAUGCGUAGAUAUGCGGAGGAACACCGAUGGCGAAGGCAAUCCCCUGGACCUGUACUGACGCUCAUGCACGAAAGCGUGGGGAGCAAACAGGAUUAGAUACCCCUGUAGUCCCUGAGCGGGCUGGCAAGGCGCAU
Molecule: ribosomal RNA, 472 nt
Filed under: uncultured bacterium
Lineage: Bacteria
Description: bacterial SSU rRNA
Rfam family: Bacterial small subunit ribosomal RNA
Source: RNAcentral